RNAcentral lists this ribosomal RNA (503 nucleotides) under uncultured bacterium. Its description in RNAcentral is "partial 16S ribosomal RNA". It matches the Rfam family "Bacterial small subunit ribosomal RNA", at positions 30 to 523 of the family's 1533-position model. The record is from RNAcentral.
AUUGAACGCUGGCGGCAGGCUUAACACAUGCAAGUCGAGCGGGGUGAUGGUGCUUGCACUAUCACUUAGCGGCGGACGGGUGAGUAAUGCUUAGGAAUCUGCCUAUUAGUGGGGGACAACAUCUCGAAAGGGAUGCUAAUACCGCAUACGUCCUACGGGAGAAAGCAGGGGAUCACUUGUGACCUUGCGCUAAUAGAUGAGCCUAAGUCGGAUUAGCUAGUUGGUGGGGUAAAGGCCUACCAAGGCGACGAUCUGUAGCGGGUCGGAGAGGAUGAUCCGCCAGACUGGGACUGAGAAACGGCCGAGACUCCUACGGGAGGAAGCAGUGGGGAAUAUUGGACAAUGGGGGGACCCCUGAUCUAGCCAUGCCGGGUGUGUGAAGAAGGCCUUAUGGUUGUAAAGCACUUUAAGCGAGGAGGAGGCUCUUUUGGUUAAUACCCAAGAUGAGUGGACGUUACUCGCAGAAUAAGCACCGGCUAACUCUGUGCCAGCAGCCGCCGUAA